GUUUCAAUUCCUACAAGGUAAGGUACAAAC
Non-coding RNA from Thermosipho africanus TCF52B, 30 nucleotides. The record is from Rfam. NCBI's taxonomy places the organism in Bacteria, Thermotogati, Thermotogota, Thermotogae, Thermotogales, Fervidobacteriaceae.